RNAcentral lists this ribosomal RNA (164 nucleotides) under Nemesia barbata. RNAcentral describes it as "5.8S ribosomal RNA". It matches the Rfam family "5.8S ribosomal RNA". Rfam says of the family: 5.8S ribosomal RNA (5.8S rRNA) is a component of the large subunit of the eukaryotic ribosome. It is transcribed by RNA polymerase I as part of the 45S precursor that also contains 18S and 28S rRNA. The record is from RNAcentral. Lineage: Eukaryota; Viridiplantae; Streptophyta; Magnoliopsida; Lamiales; Scrophulariaceae.
AAAACGACUCUCGGCAACGGAUAUCUUGGCUCUCGCAUCGAUGAAGAACGUAGCGAAAUGCGAUACUUGGUGUGAAUUGCAGAAUCCCGUGAACCAUCGAGUCUUUGAACGCAAGUUGCGCCCGAAGCCGUCAGGCYGAGGGCACGUCUGCCUGGGCGUCACGC